This 509-nucleotide ribosomal RNA is filed under the name Escherichia coli. RNAcentral's name for it is "partial 23S ribosomal RNA". It matches the Rfam family "Bacterial large subunit ribosomal RNA", at positions 2353 to 2856 of the family's 2925-position model. The record is from RNAcentral. Lineage: Bacteria; Pseudomonadati; Pseudomonadota; Gammaproteobacteria; Enterobacterales; Enterobacteriaceae.
AAUGGCAUAAGCCAGCUUGACUGCGAGCGUGACGGCGCGAGCAGGUGCGAAAGCAGGUCAUAGUGAUCCGGUGGUUCUGAAUGGAAGGGCCAUCGCUCAACGGAUAAAAGGUACUCCGGGGAUAACAGGCUGAUACCGCCCAAGAGUUCAUAUCGACGGCGGUGUUUGGCACCUCGAUGUCGGCUCAUCACAUCCUGGGGCUGAAGUAGGUCCCAAGGGUAUGGCUGUUCGCCAUUUAAAGUGGUACGCGAGCUGGGUUUAGAACGUCGUGAGACAGUUCGGUCCCUAUCUGCCGUGGGCGCUGGAGAACUGAGGGGGGCUGCUCCUAGUACGAGAGGACCGGAGUGGACGCAUCACUGGUGUUCGGGUUGUCAUGCCAAUGGCACUGCCCGGUAGCUAAAUGCGGAAGAGAUAAGUGCUGAAAGCAUCUAAGCACGAAACUUGCCCCGAGAUGAGUUCUCCCUGACUCCUUGAGAGUCCUGAAGGAACGUUGAAGACGACGACGUUGA